UACGGAGGAUGCAAGCGUUAUCCGGAAUCAUUGGGCGUAAAGCGUCCGUAGGUGGCUUUUCAAGUCUGCCGUCAAAGACCGGGGCUUAACCCCAGAAAGGCGGUGGAAACUGAAUAGCUAGAGUGCAGUAGGGGUAGAGGGAAUUCCCGGUGUAGCGGUGAAAUGCGUAGAGAUCGGGAAGAACACCCGUGGCGAAGGCGGCCAUCUGGACCAGCACUGACACUGAGGCACGAAAGCGUGGGGAGCAAACAGG
RNAcentral lists this ribosomal RNA (253 nucleotides) under uncultured bacterium. RNAcentral's name for it is "partial 16S ribosomal RNA". It matches the Rfam family "Bacterial small subunit ribosomal RNA", at positions 524 to 776 of the family's 1533-position model. The record is from RNAcentral.